UGUAUUGGACGGGAAGAGAAAGAGGAUCCCCAAGGGGUGUGCCAUCUCAACGACCAGCCUUCCUCCACUCCCUCAGAUUAGGAGCUAUUUCCAUUUUCUAGAUACUUAACGGCUGCUUAGAGGGAGGCCCGCUUGUAGGAUGGACAAAAACUGCAAAGACUUAACACGUAAAUUAGCUCCCUGAGGAAGAAAUGAGAGAGAAAAUAAGAAGGAAAUACCAUAGGGAACAUAAAGCCUGAGGCUCUGGUUCUAAAUAAAGGAAUGAACUUUUCUGGAGAGUGACGAUGGCUUACCCAACUGCUAUUCAUGAGGCUCUCUCAGUCGUGGUGUGGCCCUUGUUUCCCAGGUUCCUUUUAGACUGCUACACAGAUGGGAAUCGCUGAGGCCCCUGGAUCUUAAUUACGUUAUAACUGCUAUCAGGAGUCUGUUCACGACACUUAGAGCAGAGGACUGGUUAGAAGACAGCAUUUAGCAGUCAUGUUUCAGUCUCUAAAGAGAUUCGAGAAGCAGUUUAGCCUUCAGAGACUGGGCCUCGGAGUUGGGGGACCUGGGUUCUAAUCCCAGCUCUGCCACUUGCCGGCUGGGUGACCUGGGGCACAUACAAUAACUUCUCUGUGCCUCAUUUUCCUCAAUUGUAAAAUGGGGUGUACCUGCUCUCCCUCCCCCGUGGACUGUGAUCUCCAUGUGGGAAAGAUACUGUAUCUGACAUAAUUACCUUGUAUGUGCUUGACACUUAGGAAGUGCUUAACAAAUCCCUUAAUUAUCUCACUUUGGGACUGUUUAAUCACAAACUCUUUUUGAAACCAAAAGGGUUUUCCAAUUAUCUGGGCCAACGGGGUCAGAAAGAAUGUGGAAUUCAACGAUAAUUCUCCAAAUCUCAUUUCUGCUGAGGAUUUCGAGCUCUUUCCCCUUCAAACUCACUCGUACUGUCAACAUCUGGCAAAAUAAACUUACUCAACUUUCA
Molecule: long non-coding RNA, 964 nt
Organism: Ornithorhynchus anatinus (platypus)
Lineage: Eukaryota; Metazoa; Chordata; Mammalia; Monotremata; Ornithorhynchidae
Exons: 2
Source: RefSeq, a predicted model, not a curated record